GACGAACGCUGGCGGCGCGCCUAACACAUGCAAGUCGAACGGAGAACACUGGACGGAGUCUUUCGGGAUGAAGACUGGUGCUUCUUAGUGGCGAACGGGUGAGUAACGCGUGAGGAACCUGCCCCGAAGCGGGGGACAACAGUUGGAAACGACUGCUAAUACCGCAUAAGCCCAGGGGGCCGCAUGGCCCUGUGGGGAAAGGAUUUAUCCACUUUGGGAUGGCCUCGCGUCUGAUUAGAUAGUUGGUGGGGUAACGGCCUACCAAGUCGACGAUCAGUAGCCGGACUGAGAGGUUGAACGGCCACAUUGGGACUGAGAUACGGCCCAG
RNAcentral lists this ribosomal RNA (328 nucleotides) under uncultured bacterium. RNAcentral's name for it is "bacterial SSU rRNA". It matches the Rfam family "Bacterial small subunit ribosomal RNA", at positions 28 to 334 of the family's 1533-position model. The record is from RNAcentral.